RNAcentral lists this transfer RNA (72 nucleotides) under Schistosoma japonicum. RNAcentral's name for it is "tRNA-OTHER". The record is from RNAcentral. Lineage: Eukaryota; Metazoa; Platyhelminthes; Trematoda; Strigeidida; Schistosomatidae.
GACUCAGUGGUCUAAUGGUAAAGCGCACGUCACGAAGCCAGAGGGUCCUGGGUUCGAUCCUCAACGGGGUCU